GCCCAGGUAGCUCAGUUGGUAGAGCAGGGGACUGAAAAUCCCCGUGUCGGCGGUUCAAAUCCGUCCCUGGGCA
Molecule: transfer RNA, 73 nt
Organism: Skermanella stibiiresistens SB22
Lineage: Bacteria; Pseudomonadati; Pseudomonadota; Alphaproteobacteria; Rhodospirillales; Azospirillaceae
Rfam family: tRNA
About the family: Transfer RNA (tRNA) molecules are approximately 80 nucleotides in length. Their secondary structure includes four short double-helical elements and three loops (D, anti-codon, and T loops).
Source: Rfam